AGGAGUUACAGUAACAGUGGCGGCGGCCAGCUCUCCAGCCCUGGCGUCAGCUCCCGCAGUGACUACUGGAGCUCUCAGUCUGCAGGGGCCUGGAUGCUCCGGGGGCGG
This 108-nucleotide microRNA precursor is filed under the name Canis lupus familiaris (dog). RNAcentral describes it as "mir-8834 microRNA precursor family". It matches the Rfam family "mir-8834 microRNA precursor family". Lineage: Eukaryota; Metazoa; Chordata; Mammalia; Carnivora; Canidae. RNAcentral also lists the same sequence under 1 other name. The record is from Rfam by way of RNAcentral.